GGGAAUGUGGCUUAGUGGUAGAGUAAUUGCCUAGCAUGCAUGAAGCCCUGGGUUCAAUUCCUCACUACCA
This 70-nucleotide transfer RNA is filed under the name Dipodomys ordii (Ord's kangaroo rat). It matches the Rfam family "tRNA". From Rfam's summary of the family: Transfer RNA (tRNA) molecules are approximately 80 nucleotides in length. The record is from Rfam by way of RNAcentral. Lineage: Eukaryota; Metazoa; Chordata; Mammalia; Rodentia; Heteromyidae.